GUGCCAGCAGCCGCGGUAAUACGUAGGUCCCGAACGUUGCGCGAAUUUACUGGGCGUAAAGGGUCCGUAGGCGGUCUGGUAAGUGGAAGGUGAAAUCCUGGGGCUCAACUCCAGAAUUGCCUUCCAAACUGCCGGACUUGAGGCAGGGAGAGGCGAGUGGAAUUCCGAGUGUAGAGGUGAAAUUCGUAGAUAUCGGGAGGAACACCAGUGGCGAAGGCGGCCGACUGGAACUGACCUGACGCUGAGGGACGAAAGCCAGGGGAGCGAACCGGAUUAGAUACCCGGGUAGUCCUGGCCGUAAACGAUGGAUGCUAGAUGUGGGCGGGGAGACCCGUCCGUGUCGCAAGCUAACGCGUUAAGCAUCCCGCCUGGGGAGUACGGCCGCAAGGUUGAAACUUAAAGGAAUUGACGGGG
RNAcentral lists this ribosomal RNA (414 nucleotides) under uncultured prokaryote. Its description in RNAcentral is "bacterial SSU rRNA". It matches the Rfam family "Bacterial small subunit ribosomal RNA", at positions 505 to 918 of the family's 1533-position model. The record is from RNAcentral.